UUAAGUUCAGCGGGUAGUCCUACUCGAUUUGAGGUCAAGUUGUCAAUCGUUGUCCGAAGACGGUUUGAAGCACAGAGCUCCUGAUCAGCCACCCUCUAAGUGAGGCGCCGGCGAAGACACUUAUCACGCCGUACUAUGUCCAACCAAGAGUUGCACUACUCCAUUUAAGGUGAGCCGCGGUAAAGCAGCAACACCCAAGU
This 200-nucleotide unclassified non-coding RNA is filed under the name Sebacina sp. RNAcentral describes it as "partial internal transcribed spacer 2". The record is from RNAcentral. Lineage: Eukaryota; Fungi; Basidiomycota; Agaricomycetes; Sebacinales; Sebacinaceae.